RNAcentral lists this long non-coding RNA (466 nucleotides) under Zostera marina. RNAcentral describes it as "long non-coding RNA (ZMAR_LNC003048)". The record is from RNAcentral. Lineage: Eukaryota; Viridiplantae; Streptophyta; Magnoliopsida; Alismatales; Zosteraceae.
UUAUUUUCGAUGGCGGUGUUUAGAUGGCGGAUUUCCGCCAUCUAAACUAUCCCGCUCAAAAUUUCGAAUGUCCCCCAAUAUUGAACCCGAUUACCCGAUUAAAUUGACUUAACAUGGCGGAUGUCCGCCAUGUUAAGUAUUCGGGGACUCGGGCGGAAAAAGCCCGCCCAAAUUUCGAUUGGGCGGACUUUCACUUUAGUGCUGGCGGCACUUAAGUGUACUUACAUGGUGGAAAUCCGCCAUGUAAGUUUUGGGGUUUAUUAAAAAUCCCAAAUCGACAGAACGCGUCUGUUCUGUUCUAAAACAUUUCUUUGCUAUCUCCUGCCUGCCGGACUACUGUUUGCCUACUGCUGCCGCUGCUCGUCGCCGCCGCCGCCGCCGCCGCUGCUGCUCGUCAUCGUCUCGUCGUCCGGAGUUCUCGCCGCCGUCGGUCGCCGAAUCCUCUACCGCCGUCCGGAGUUCUCGC